Molecule: long non-coding RNA, 1553 nt
Organism: Esox lucius (northern pike)
Lineage: Eukaryota; Metazoa; Chordata; Actinopteri; Esociformes; Esocidae
Exons: 3
Source: RefSeq, a predicted model, not a curated record
AGAAGUGUGAGGUUUGGUCCUAUUGGAAAUGUUUGUUUACCUGUUCUUGAGAGAGAGGUUAUUAACUACCAUAGCAACUAAUGGAUAAGAUAGGAGAGCAAUUACCCACGUGGCUGGAUAGAGACGCUGAGAAGAGCCUGCAGUUCAGACAAGUAUAUGGAGAAAAACCCCUGUAACGUAAGUUGUGGAGAAGACAUGGGCGUGCUGGAGCCAGAGUAAUGGGUGUCAGCAGCUUGUGAAGUCCAGUGGGAACUCGGAACGCAUAAUUACCUCUCGGAGGCUGCUACCUGGCUGAUGGAGCGAUGACACACGACCGCAUUCAUCCACUCCAAUGGCAGCACUCUCUCACCGUUGGAGAGUUUGCAUUGGUUGUUUCCCAGUUGAGAUUUUACAAACAAAAAGGAAUGUGAAGACUUCUGCCAAGCAGGAUAUGACAGAUCAGAUGUUAGCUUAUCUUAAAAUGUGGUUGUCCCCCUAUUGAAGUUCUCGACUUGACUGGCACGUCAGCCGUCUCGCGGGUAAUAGAAACUAGCAUGUCUUUAAAAAGGUGGUUUGUUGAAGGAUUUGUAACAUCGUAACACAAAGGGAGGUCCCACGCCUUGUUCUUGGCGGUAGGCAGGAGGAAAAUGCCUCGGGCCAAUUCGCGACGUUCACUCAGUAUGUGGCUGUGGUUGGAGGCAGUUUCUGUACCUGUUUACGGACACCUGUCGGAUUACAGUCAACACCGGGGUGAAGCAGCGGAUCCGGUUAGAAGAGAUGGGGGGGGGGGGGUGAUGUCGUUCAAAGAGUUACACUACAGUGAAAUACUGUGUCAUUUUGUGACGUUUAGACGUGCUGACAAGGCAAACAACCCCUUGCCAAAUACAUGUCUUGUCCGGUUGCGUCUGGCCCCGCCCCCUACGGUUCACUGAGCCAAUGGCCAAAGAACACACCCCUCCUUUUGUGCGACAGCGCAUACACACGCACACGCUCGCUAAGGAGAAGGAGGAAUGACGGACGGACGGAAGUAAAAGACCGGCGGACAUGCUGACAGCUUGACAGGAGGCAACGAGGAAACACAUUAAUAACAGUCCCCAGGACCGAAGUCACUGUUUGAUUUUCACAAGCUGCUAUUAAGGAGAUGUGGUUUUUCAACUUCUCAGUGUGUUGUUGUUAUCUAUGCAUGGAUACAGAAGGAUAAGCAGGAGGUUCAUGAAGGCUUUGCAGUGACGUAACAUGUCAUCUCUCAUAAUUGUUGUUUCUAUUGGAUUGUACUGGUUUGUUGACCGAAGAAUUACAUGGAAUUUGAACUGAAGUACACAGUGCAUGUCAGAUUCAGAGUUUCCUGUGUCUGCAAAUCUGGUUCAGUACUGUAAACUAUGUUUAACUUAAUAUGGAUGCUUUUUUUUAUCCAAAUCAAAUCUUUAAGAUCCGAUAUCUGCAAAUCUUACUGGUACUGAAUUACAUGGUAUCGGUACUCAAGUACACAGUGCAUGUCAGUUUUUGAGUAUUCUGUGUCUGCCAAUCUAGUUCACUAUGGUUAACAAUGUUAACUUAAUGUUGAGAUUUUUAUA